AGAGUUUGAUCCUGGCUCAGGAUGAACGCUAGCGGCAGGCCUAAUACAUGCAAGUCGAGGGGUAGAGGCUGCUUGCAGCCUUGAGACCGGCGCACGGGUGCGUAACGCGUAUGCAACCUGCCCAAACCUGGGGGAUAGCCCGGAGAAAUCCGGAUUAAUACCGCAUAAAACCACAGCACGGCAUCGUGCAAUGGUCAAACAUUCAUGGGGUUUGGAUGGGCAUGCGUGCCAUUAGUUAGUUGGCGGGGUAACGGCCCACCAAGACCGCGAUGGCUAGGGGAUCUGAGAGGAUGGCCCCCACACUGGUACUGAGACACGGACCAGACUCCUACGGGAGGCAGCAGUAAGGAAUAUUGGUCAAUGGGCGCAAGCCUGAACCAGCCAUGCCGCGUGCAGGAAGACGGCCCUCCGGGUUGUAAACCGCUUUUAUUCGGGAAUAAACCUUUCUACGUGUAGGAAGCUGAAUGUACCGAAGGAAUAAGGAUCGGCUAACUCCGUA
This 499-nucleotide ribosomal RNA is filed under the name uncultured Sphingobacteriaceae bacterium. RNAcentral describes it as "bacterial SSU rRNA". It matches the Rfam family "Bacterial small subunit ribosomal RNA", at positions 8 to 507 of the family's 1533-position model. The record is from RNAcentral. Lineage: Bacteria; Pseudomonadati; Bacteroidota; Sphingobacteriia; Sphingobacteriales; Sphingobacteriaceae.